CUGAGGUCUGCCUGACCCCUGAGAUCCUACUUGCUCGGUGGGGAGAUCUGCUGAUGCUCUAGGCCUGUGGUGCUGGGAUGGAUAUGCGAGUGCUUAUCAGCUUUGACAUGGUGUCCAUCAUGCCAGUCAAGGAAGACCUGCUCCUGCGCCAAUGCUCAACCUGGAGAAAAGGUUGUGGCACUGAAUUUAACAAAAUGAAAUAUUGACUUUUGGAGCAAUCCCAGCGUUUGAUGAAGAAUUGAAUAGCAGCCUGCCUUGAACUAAGAAUCUAGAAGAAUUCAAAUCCAGCAUAGAGUGGACCAUAAAGAUCAACAUUUUUCACAAGAGGAAACUAUUUUCAGGGGAGGAUAAGAGCAUUCUCUAGCAUUAAUUGCAGGGUUGGGCCUAUGGCCUAAUUAGAACCUCUUACCAUUAUGGUGUUUGGAAACUAUUUUCUUUAUCAAAAAAUUCUAUUUUGAUAUUAAAAAUAUUCACCCACCUACAGAAAUCCUCACUGAAGUGUCAACAACUGGGAUGAAGUUGUCUUCCUAAAGAAGGGGCCAUAACCUUGGAGUUAAAUAUUUAUGAAGAAAGCAUUCCAUUUGUAACUGUCACAUAAGAAUUUGGGAACAGCUGUAGCAUAAGGGAUAGCAUGUAAUGUGUCUUCCUUCACUCUAGUGGCAAAGCCAAGAUUGCCAAGCUAAAGUUUAUAGAUGGUUUUCUUCACUUUACAUUUCAUCCAGAUUAAAAAUGUAGAGAAAAUACCACGUAUAUUUUUGCAGAAUUGACAAUACUUCAGGAGACUUACAUCUUGACCUUCAUUACUUUGUAAGUAUUGUGUACCUAACUGUCUGGCCUUAACAAGGGAAAAUGUUUACAUAAUUAAGUCAUUUACAGAUUUAAAGGUGAAUGAUCUAUUCUUAGAGAGUGUAUAUGAGAUUGUUCCAUUUUUUCCCUUUAAGUUAAUUUUUUGAAGUUUUAUGCAUAAGAAUAAUGAAAUGAAAAUAAAAACAACAGAAAAGAAUGAUGAAAUGAAU
RNAcentral lists this long non-coding RNA (1016 nucleotides) under Chinchilla lanigera (long-tailed chinchilla). RNAcentral's name for it is "lncRNA (ENSCLAG00000026206.1)". Lineage: Eukaryota; Metazoa; Chordata; Mammalia; Rodentia; Chinchillidae. The record is from RNAcentral.